This is a long non-coding RNA of Hydra vulgaris (swiftwater hydra), 336 nucleotides long. RefSeq lists it as uncharacterized. The record is from RefSeq and is a predicted model, not a curated record. Lineage: Eukaryota; Metazoa; Cnidaria; Hydrozoa; Anthoathecata; Hydridae.
ACGUCAAAUACUAAAACUUUUAUGAAUUAAAGGAAUUGCCAAAGUCUGUAGAUUGCGACGCAUAAUUUGAAGACGCAUAAUUCCGAGCAGUUGAAAAAUAUGGAGAAGACGAGCCUCGGCAAAAACAACAACAUUUGUUUUUCACGACUGUUUAGUCGAUUACUACACCAAAAAAGACUGUCAAAUUGUGAUUGCAAAUACACUAAAGCAUGCGCCUGGAUAAAAAGAGGACAAAGGAUGUCAUUUGUUCGAAGAGUCGUUUCUAUAAGAGGAGGAACAAGAAGUUUAAUUUAUAAAAAUUCAAAAUUAUCGAAAAUAUAUAUUUUAAAACGUUUA